RNAcentral lists this transfer RNA (87 nucleotides) under Plantactinospora mayteni. RNAcentral describes it as "tRNA-Ser". It matches the Rfam family "tRNA". From Rfam's summary of the family: Transfer RNA (tRNA) molecules are approximately 80 nucleotides in length. Their secondary structure includes four short double-helical elements and three loops (D, anti-codon, and T loops). The record is from RNAcentral. Lineage: Bacteria; Bacillati; Actinomycetota; Actinomycetes; Micromonosporales; Micromonosporaceae.
GGAAGGAUGGCCGAGAGGUCCAAGGCGCCGCCCCGCUAAGGCGGACCGGCUCACACCCGGCGAGGGUUCGAAUCCCUCUCCUUCCGC